Molecule: ribosomal RNA, 530 nt
Filed under: uncultured bacterium
Lineage: Bacteria
Description: bacterial SSU rRNA
Rfam family: Bacterial small subunit ribosomal RNA
Source: RNAcentral
CCUUGACAUACUAAGAACUUUCCAGAGAUGGAUUGGUGCCUUCGGGAACUUAGAUACAGGUGCUGCAUGGCUGUCGUCAGCUCGUGUCGUGAGAUGUUGGGUUAAGUCCCGNAACGAGCGCAACCCUUUUCCUAUUUGCCAGUGGGUCAUGCCGGGAACUUUAAGGAUACUGCCAGUGACAAACUGGAGGAAGGCGGGGACGACGUCAAGUCAUCAUGGCCCUUACGGCCAGGGCUACACACGUGCUACAAUGGUCGGUACAAAGGGUUGCUACCUCGCGAGAGGAUGCUAAUCUCAAAAAGCCGAUCGUAGUCCGGAUCGCAGUCUGCAACUCGACUGCGUGAAGUCGGAAUCGCUAGUAAUCGCGGAUCAGAAUGCCGCGGUGAAUACGUUCCCGGGCCUUGUACACACCGCCCGUCACACCAUGGGAGUUUGUUGCACCAGAAGUAGGUAGUCUAACCGCAAGGAGGACGCUUACCACGGUGUGGCCGAUGACUGGGGUGAAGUCGUAACAAGGUAGGCGUAGAUGA